Molecule: long non-coding RNA, 863 nt
Organism: Cyprinus carpio carpio
Lineage: Eukaryota; Metazoa; Chordata; Actinopteri; Cypriniformes; Cyprinidae
Source: Ensembl
GUCCAUUAUUAGAUUAUAUUGUCCACUCAGCAGUCUAACAGACCAUUAUUAGGCUCAGCACUGUAUUUCCUAUGUUGUAUGUGUAAUUCGUAAGAUUAGCCUAGUGAAGUACUAAGUUUUUAUCUAAUUGAGUGAUCCUGAAGAAAUUUUUGAAAAUGUUAAAUUUCAACUGAAUUUUUGCAGACAGCUAUGAAGAGGGCAGAAGGAAGGCUAAAGAGGCAGAGACCUGGUCAGACCUCCAGUCAGACGCAGAAAUGUCUGGACAGAAACCACCAAGGCGUAAAAUGUACAGAUAUUUGUUCAGCAUGUCACUAGUGCUAUUUCUUGAUGCAUUCAGGCUGUAUUUAAAGACCUGUUUUCCAGAUUUUUUUUAGAAUUAGCAAGAAGUUGCCAAUUUAGAAGUUUCCAUUUCAUUUUGAUUAAUUAAAUUUUUGUUUAAAAUAGGAAGAGUGUUCGAAUUGGCCCACCUGGAGGUUGCUUAAUGGACUCAGAGGAGGAAUCUGGCCCACCCCCAAGCAACUUCUUCCACCUGCCCCCACUGUAAACCUCCCUGUAGUCAUCCCAAACACCACUUUCACCCCUGUUCCCAUCACCACAUUGCCAGCAGCAGCAGCACCACCACCACAAGGGACAUAUACAGAGAUGCUGCAAAAUUGGCAGCCGAUGGACGAUGUGCCACCGCUGCGGAGUUGUCAGACGUUCAGAAUUGCCCCCAGCAAUCAUCAGAACCAGGUUGGUCCUUCAGUGAUUUCCACUCAGUCAUCUUACUUUUUAAGUUUAUCGUUUUUUUAAUAAGACUAAGGAUGACAUUGUACAGUUUUGUAGUGUGUAUUGUAAUUGUAAAAUAUUGUAAAUGUCUUUAA